UAAAGAUUCAUCGCUGAUAGAUAGGCAUGCGUUCCAUUAGGCAGUUGGCGGGGUAACGGCCCACCAAACCGACGAUGGAUAGGGGUUCUGAGAGGAAGGUCCCCCACAUUGGUACUGAGACACGGACCAAACUCCUACGGGAGGCAGCAGUGAGGAAUAUUGGUCAAUGGGCGUAAGCCUGAACCAGCCAAGUCGCGUGAGGGAUGAAGGUUCUAUGGAUCGUAAACCUCUUUUAUAAGGGAAUAAAGUGUGGGACGUGUCCUAUUUUGUAUGUACCUUAUGAAUAAGGAUCGGCUAACUCCGUGCCAGCAGCCGCGGUAAUACGGAGGAUCCGAGCGUUAUCCGGAUUUAUUGGGUUUAAAGGGUGCGUAGGCGGCCUUUUAAGUCAGCGGUGAAAGUCUGUGGCUCAACCAUAGAAUUGCCGUUGAAACUGGGGGGCUUGAGUAUGUUUGAGGCAGGCGGAAUGCGUGGUGUAGCGGUGAAAUGCUUAGAUAUCACGCAGAACCCCGAUUGCGAAGGCAGCCUGCCAAGCCAUGACUGACGCUGAUGCACGAAAGCGUGGGGAUCGAACAGGAUUAGAUACCCUGGUAGUCCACGCAGUAAACGAUGAUCACUAGCUGUUUGCGAUACAGUGUAA
RNAcentral lists this ribosomal RNA (637 nucleotides) under uncultured bacterium. Its description in RNAcentral is "bacterial SSU rRNA". It matches the Rfam family "Bacterial small subunit ribosomal RNA", at positions 202 to 842 of the family's 1533-position model. The record is from RNAcentral.